UGGGGAAUAUUGGACAAUGGGCGCAAGCCUGAUCCAGCCAUGCCGCGUGAGUGAUGAAGGCCCUAGGGUUGUAAAGCUCUUUCAACGGUGAAGAUAAUGACGGUAACCGUAGAAGAAGCCCCGGCUAACUUCGUGUCAGCAGCCGCGGUAAUACGAAGGGGGCUAGCGUUGUUCGGAAUUACUGGGCGUAAAGCGCACGUAGGCGGAUUGUUAAGUUAGGGGUGAAAUCCCAGGGCUCAACCCUGGAACUGCCUUUAAUACUGGCAAUCUAGAGUCCGAGAGAGGUGAGUGGAAUUCCGAGUGUAGAGGUGAAAUUCGUAGAUAUUCGGAGGAACACCAGUGGCGAAGGCGGCUCACUGGCUCGGUACUGACGCUGAGGUGCGAAAGCGUGGGGAGCAAACA
Molecule: ribosomal RNA, 402 nt
Filed under: uncultured bacterium
Lineage: Bacteria
Description: bacterial SSU rRNA
Rfam family: Bacterial small subunit ribosomal RNA
Source: RNAcentral